RNAcentral lists this ribosomal RNA (492 nucleotides) under uncultured bacterium. RNAcentral describes it as "partial 16S ribosomal RNA". It matches the Rfam family "Bacterial small subunit ribosomal RNA", at positions 30 to 507 of the family's 1533-position model. The record is from RNAcentral.
AUUGAACGCUGGCGGUAGGCCUAACACAUGCAAGUCGAGCGGGAACUCCGUAAGUACUUGCUCUUACGGGAGGCAAGUGGGGGACUGUUCACAAUUGCAUCGGAAUCUGCUUCGUAGGGGAGGAUAACGUAGCAAAAGUUCCGCUAGUGCCGCAUACGACUUACGGGUGAAAUCGGGAGAGCUUGAGACCUUGUGCGAUUAGAUGAGCGGAAGUCGGAUUAGCUAGUUGGCAGGGUAAAGGCCUACCAAGGCGACGAUCCGUAGCUGGUCUGAGAGGAUGAUCAGCCACACUGGAACUGAGACACGGUCCAGACUCCUACGGGAGGCAGCAGUGGGGAAUAUUGGACAAUGGGCGAAAGCCUGAUCCAGCCAUGCCGCGUGUGUGAAGAAGGCCUUCGGGUUGUAAAGCACUUUAAGCGGGGAGGAAGGUUCGCGGCCUAAUACGUCGCGGAAUUGACGUUACCCGCAGAAUAAGCACCGGCUAACUCUGUG